AUACGGAGGGAGCAAGCGUUAUUCGGAAUCACUGGGCGUAAAGGACGCGUAGGCGGGUUUGUAAGUCAGGUGUGAAAUCCUACAGCUCAACUGUAGAACUGCACUUGAAACUACGGACCUAGAGUAUGGAAGGGGCAGAUGGAAUUAGUGGUGUAGGGGUAAAAUCCGUAGAUAUCACUAGGAAUACCGAAAGCGAAGGCGAUCUGCUGGGACAUUACUGACGCUGAGGCGUGAAAGCGUGGGGAGCAAACAGGAUUAGAAACCCUUGUAGUCC
RNAcentral lists this ribosomal RNA (274 nucleotides) under uncultured bacterium. Its description in RNAcentral is "partial 16S ribosomal RNA". It matches the Rfam family "Bacterial small subunit ribosomal RNA", at positions 523 to 796 of the family's 1533-position model. The record is from RNAcentral.